CCCUUGUGUAUUACUUGUCAGUAAGUUUUCACUCCUCUUGUUCCAACUUCAGGCAGGAAAUAGAUGACUGGGUCACUCUGAUAUCUUCAGUCUGCAGGGAGGACAAAAGCGGAUGCUGCCCUCAGAACCAAGAUCUUCCAAAUCCAGAAGUCAGAAGCCGGACUUCCUCUUUGCCACUAUUCCUGAGUUCUGUAGAUAUGACCAGCCUUCCUGACAGGCAAAGCUACCAGAAGGAGAAUGUUUCCUCAGAAGACAAGAACAGGCCUUAUUCAGAUCCUGGCCCCCAUCAGGCUCAGUGUCACCCACCAAGAGGAGUUUUUCCAAGCCUGCAGGAUAAAAUUCUGGGAAGAAGUGAGGAAAACCUGCUGCUGUCAGAUCCAGAGGAAAACAUCAAAAAGGAUGAAGAAGAUUAUUACCAAACUCCC
RNAcentral lists this long non-coding RNA (425 nucleotides) under Chloebia gouldiae (Gouldian finch). RNAcentral describes it as "Erythrura gouldiae (Gouldian finch) lncRNA (ENSEGOG00005019398.1)". The record is from RNAcentral. Lineage: Eukaryota; Metazoa; Chordata; Aves; Passeriformes; Passeridae.